CAGUCGAACGAAGCACUUUAUUACAAUUUCUUCGGAAUGACGAUUUAGUGACUGAGUGGCGGACGGGUGAGUAACGCGUGGGUAACCUGCCUUAUACAGGGGGAUAACAGUUAGAAAUGACUGCUAAUACCGCAUAAGCGCACAGGAUUGCAUGAUCUGGUGUGAAAAACUCCGGUGGUAUAAGAUGGACCCGCGUCUGAUUAGCUGGUUGGUGAGGUAACGGCCCACCAAGGCGACGAUCAGUAGCCGACCUGAGAGGGUGACCGGCCACAUUGGGACUGAGACACGGCCCAAACUCCUACGGGAGGCAGCAGUGGGGAAUAUUGCACAAUGGGGGAAACCCUGAUGCAGCGACGCCGCGUGAGCGAAGAAGUAUUUCGGUAUGUAAAGCUCUAUCAGCAGGGAAGAAGAAAUGACGGUACCUGACUAAGAAGCACCGGCUAAAUACGUGCCAGCAGCCGCGGUAAUACGUAUGGUGCAAGCGUUAUCCGGAUUUACUGGGUGUAAAGGGAGCGCAGGCGGUACGGCAAGUCUGAUGUGAAAGCCCGGGGCUCAACCCCGGUACUGCAUUGGAAACUGUCGGACUAGAGUGUCGGAGGGGUAAGUGGAAUUCCUAGUGUAGCGGUGAAAUGCGUAGAUAUUAGGAGGAACACCAGUGGCGAAGGCGGCUUACUGGACGAUUACUGACGCUGAGGCUCGAAAGCGUGGGGAGCAAACAGGAUUAGA
Molecule: ribosomal RNA, 726 nt
Filed under: uncultured bacterium
Lineage: Bacteria
Description: bacterial SSU rRNA
Rfam family: Bacterial small subunit ribosomal RNA
Source: RNAcentral